AUGUUUAUCUGAUUGUUAGCAAUAAUAAAAAAUCCUGAUUUAGAUAAAAUGGAUUCAAAUACAGUUUUUGAAACAAAACGAAUGUGAUUUGAAGAUCCAUAGGAAGAUCAAAUUCCUAGCUUACAUUUGCAUGGUGAGUUCAACAAGUAUUUGUUAUUAGAGAACAAGUAACACAGUUAGUGGUGUAGGGAAGCAAACGAAUGUAACACCAAUUGAAAGUCCUCAACAAGUAGAGAUGCACACAUGUUUCAAUCAUUUGAGAUACCCUUUUGUAGAAGUAUUUGGAAGAUAACUAUUAAUAAUUUCAUUUGUAAAGAUACGAUUUGUAAAAAAGUAUAUACAAAGUGGUUUUGCUGGUAUUAAAUAAAUAAAUAAAAAUAC
Diabrotica virgifera virgifera (western corn rootworm) is the source of this 381-nucleotide long non-coding RNA. RefSeq lists it as uncharacterized. The transcript has 2 exons. NCBI's taxonomy places the organism in Eukaryota, Metazoa, Arthropoda, Insecta, Coleoptera, Chrysomelidae. The record is from RefSeq and is a predicted model, not a curated record.